This 204-nucleotide long non-coding RNA is filed under the name Hordeum vulgare. RNAcentral describes it as "long non-coding RNA (HVUL_LNC001968)". Lineage: Eukaryota; Viridiplantae; Streptophyta; Magnoliopsida; Poales; Poaceae. The record is from RNAcentral.
UCCGUCAUUUAGAUGAUUACAUGUGUCUUCAUUGCACACAUACAAACAUGGAUAAUCAUCAUUGUAGGAGUAAUCCUUAUGCAUAAGGAACUCACUACGUCGGUUGUACCAUAUGUACCGACAACAAUAAGUCGUAUGGUGACUUACUGAUUUUUACACAAUGUAUGUUGCAUUUUGCAUUUCAAUUCAGAAGUGAGAUUUCAU